This 383-nucleotide long non-coding RNA is filed under the name Homo sapiens (human). RNAcentral's name for it is "HSALNT0122520". The record is from RNAcentral. Lineage: Eukaryota; Metazoa; Chordata; Mammalia; Primates; Hominidae.
GCAGUUUCAUCUUCACUCUUGGAUGCCUCCCUGUCUUCCUACUGUUCCAGAGCCCAUGCCAUUUCUGAGAUCCUCUGAGCUGUCCUUGUGGCUUCCAUGCAGAAAAAGAAAAACGACAUCCAAAGAGGGUAUGCGACUGUGUCGAGUUCAACAGAAGAAUGAGGACUGCACAAUUCCAUCUAGUUCCUGUUUGAAAGCUCUUUUGUCCACAUGACCAUUUCCCUUAUGGACUCUCCUUCUACUUUUGUGGGAUUGUUUUUCUAAUUAGAAAAUUCAUUUUAGCAGUAUUCUUAUCAUUCCAAAAGUUAAUUACCCGUGCACUGUGGCAUGAGCUUCAUAUCUGUUGAAUUUCUUCACCUUUAAUAAAGAUCAUUAAAAGGGAA